GAAAUGCGAUAACUAGUGUGAAUUGCAGAAUUCCGUGAAUCAUCGAGUCUUUGAACGCACAUUGCGCCCCCUGGUAUUCCGGGGGGCAUGCCUGUCCGAGCGUCAUUGCUGCCCAUCAAGCACGGCUUGUGUGUUGGGUCGUCGUCCCCUCUCCGGGGGGGACGGGCCCCAAAGGCAGCGGCGGCACCGCGUCCGAUCCUCGAGCGUAUGGGGCUUUGUCACCCGCUCUGUAGGCCCGGCCGGCGCUUGCCGAACGCAAAUCAAUCUUUUUCCGGGUUGACCUCGGAUCAGGUAGGGAUACCCGCUGAACUUAAGC
RNAcentral lists this unclassified non-coding RNA (316 nucleotides) under plant metagenome. Its description in RNAcentral is "partial contains 5.8S ribosomal RNA, internal transcribed spacer 2, and large subunit ribosomal RNA". The stretch from base 1 to 105 matches the Rfam family "5.8S ribosomal RNA", at positions 50 to 154 of the family's 154-position model. The record is from RNAcentral.